This 229-nucleotide ribosomal RNA is filed under the name uncultured bacterium. Its description in RNAcentral is "partial 16S ribosomal RNA". It matches the Rfam family "Bacterial small subunit ribosomal RNA", at positions 568 to 796 of the family's 1533-position model. The record is from RNAcentral.
UACGUAGGCGGGAAAUUAAGUCAGUAGUGAAAUCCCACAGCUUAACUGUGGAACUGUUAUUGAUACUGGUUUUCUUGAAUAUAGUUGAGGUAGGCGGAAUGUGUAAUGUAGCGGUGAAAUGCUUAGAUAUUACACAGAACACCGAUUGCGAAGGCAGCUUACUAAGCUAUGAUUGACGCUGAGGUACGAAAGCGUGGGUAGCGAACAGGAUUAGAUACCCUGGUAGUCC